RNAcentral lists this ribosomal RNA (468 nucleotides) under uncultured bacterium. RNAcentral's name for it is "partial 16S ribosomal RNA". It matches the Rfam family "Bacterial small subunit ribosomal RNA", at positions 28 to 507 of the family's 1533-position model. The record is from RNAcentral.
GACGAACGCUGGCGGCGUGCUUAACACAUGCAAGUCGAACGGAAAGGCCCUGCUUUUGUGGGGUGCUCGAGUGGCGAACGGGUGAGUAACACGUGAGUAACCUGCCCUUGACUUUGGGAUAACUUCAGGAAACUGGGGCUAAUACCGGAUAGGAGCUCCUGCUGCAUGGUGGGGGUUGGAAAGUUUCGGCGGUAGGGGAUGGACUCGCGGCUUAUCAGCUUGUUGGUGGGGUAGUGGCUUACCAAGGGUUUGACGGGUAGCCGGCCUGAGAGGGUGACCGGCGACAGUGGGACUGAGAGACGGCCCAGACGCCUACGGGAGGCAGCAGUGGGAAAUAUUGCACAAUGGGCGGAAGCCUGAUGCAGCAACGCUGCGUGCGGGAUGACGGCCUUCUGGUUGUAAACCGCUUUGGCCUGUGACGAAGAGUGAGUGACGGUAAUGGGUAAAGAAGCACCGGCUAACUACGUG